CGGCAACAGCUCAAAUUUGAAAUCUGGCCCCGUGCCCGAGUUGUAAUUUGUAGAGGAUGCUUUUGGCGCGGCGCCUCCCGAGUGCCCUGGAACGGGACGCCACAGAGGGUGAGAGCCCCGUAUGGUUGGACGCCUAGCCUCUGUAAAGCUCCUUCGAC
This 158-nucleotide ribosomal RNA is filed under the name Camarops sp. RNAcentral describes it as "partial large subunit ribosomal RNA". It matches the Rfam family "Eukaryotic large subunit ribosomal RNA", at positions 99 to 261 of the family's 3401-position model. The record is from RNAcentral. Lineage: Eukaryota; Fungi; Ascomycota; Sordariomycetes; Boliniales; Boliniaceae.